Molecule: ribosomal RNA, 209 nt
Filed under: uncultured Pseudomonadota bacterium
Lineage: Bacteria; Pseudomonadati; Pseudomonadota
Description: uncultured proteobacterium partial 16S ribosomal RNA
Rfam family: Bacterial small subunit ribosomal RNA
Source: RNAcentral
CACGUAGGCGGAUCGGUAAGUCAGAUGUGAAAUCCCGGAGCUCAACUCCGGAACUGCAUUUGAUACUGCCAGUCUUGAGUGAGGUAGAGGGGGGUGGAAUUCCCGGUGUAGAGGUGAAAUUCGUAGAUAUCGGGAGGAACACCAGAGGCGAAGGCGACCCCCCUGGGCCUUUACUGACGCUGAGGUGCGAAAGCGUGGGGGAGCAAACG